Molecule: long non-coding RNA, 2023 nt
Organism: Rhododendron vialii
Lineage: Eukaryota; Viridiplantae; Streptophyta; Magnoliopsida; Ericales; Ericaceae
Exons: 2
Source: RefSeq, a predicted model, not a curated record
UCUCUCUCUCUCUCUCUCUAUAUAUAUAUAUAUAUAUAUAUAUAUAUAUAUAUAUGCAUAUUGUAUUUCACUGAUGAAUGUUCGUUCAUAAACAGGCGUGAAUCCUCUACAAGUUGAUUCUGUCCUCACAUUUUUAGGUAUGUGAAACCUCAAUUAUUAUCUGAAUUGUAUACGAUUCAAUCCGUCUGUUAUUCUUUCCGCUAAUUUUUUUUACACUCAUUACAUAUUAUUUGCUUACUUUUCUUUCUGAAAUGAAACAUGAUCAAGCAAAGGCAAAUCAGAUGCAUUGAAGGAACAACCAUCAAAUCAAAUCUCUUGGUUCUCUAUGCAGAUUACAAUGCCAAUAUCCAUAGAAAUAUAUGCUAAAAAAAAACCCAUUUAGCAGAGUGCUACCCCAAAACCUAAUAACUCAAAUAGCAUCAGGCAGCUACUUCGCUUACAAAUUAAUCAUCUUCCUCCAAAACAUAGUUGAACUUUACUGGAAGACCAUUGAGUUCUAACAUCCUAUGUUUUAGCAGUUUGACGUUUCGAUAAUCUUCUCUAUUAGGUCGAAAAACACAUUGAACACGACAUAGAAGGAAUCUUAAUUCAAGAUCAGCUGAGUCCCUCUAUGUAUCUCCCAAUAAGGACGUGUUAAAUGUCAGCCGUCCUGCCAGACACCGUUUCUUUGGAAAAUGCAGAUUAUAGAGCGAAAAUUCUAAACCUCGUUUAAGAGAAUGAUUUGGUGUAGAAAGUCUCAAAUUCAAGAUCUUUCGCUGUGCGAAUUUCCUGAGAAACGAAAUACAUUUUGUUUGUUUGGUUUGGUUUGGUUAGGGAACGAUGAGGAAAUAUAAGUUGUUACUUAUCAAAUACCUUCAGUCUCUUUUGUUACCCAUGGAAAACAAACUUUUCUCAGUAGGCUUCAUUUCACUUUAACUAGCCUUCCUUUCAAUGUAGCUGUAUUGUGAUUGAAAGUAAAAACUAGCACCUUGUCUAGUGAUCAAAAUUGUAUUGUCCCGUUGUGGAAUUCUUUCAGAACAGCUGGCGUUGAAAUGUUAUGAAAGGGGCAUGGCAAUCAUCCAAACCACCAAAAAAGUUACCCGCAAUCAAAGGAGCCCUCACGGCUAGCAUGGAGGAAUGGAAAGAGUGGCUUCAUACCAAUGUCAACCACUCCAGAACAAACUCACAGGGUUAUUUCUUAAGUGUCCUAGUUUUAGUUACACUUUGGAAAAUUUGGCUUGCUAAAAAUGGAAAAAGUCUUUGAUGAUGUCAUUGUUAGUUCAUUUGAUAUUUGCUUUACUCGUGCUAAAUUUGCCCAUGAAAUUGGGAAGAGUUUUACAUCUGUUGCUUGUGCUAAACCUAGACAAAUUAGACUGAUUGCAUGGAAUUUUCCAGGUACGGGAAAGCUGAAGUUAAACACUGAUGGAAAUCCGGGACCUGCUGGGUUUGGAGGAGUUUUUUGAGAGGAGAGAGGGCAUUGGAUGCUGGGAUUUCUAGGACGGGUGGAAGACUGUACGAGCCUUGAGGCCGAACUUUUGUGGAUUUUUAGAGGCCUGGAGAUGAUCCAAAAUCAUGGUAUGGAGGCUAUGUAAAUUGACACCAACUCAGCAACCGCCAUUGCUAUGACAACUGAGGAGUACCCUGACCACUCCCCACACAAAGUGCUGAUCCAAGAGUGAAAGGUGCUGCUAGAGGCUACAGGAUGUCUUCUCAAGCAUACAUUCCGUGAGGGAAACCAAGUGGUGGAUAGACUCGCCAAUGUGUUUGUAAACCAAGAGGACAAGAUGAUGUUGCAUGUUAUCCCGCCCGACGACAUUAUUCCGCUGCUUGAGGAGGACAUGCGGGGCAUGGAUUUUGAGCGUUUCUAUUUUUUUUUUCAUUUCCAGAUAGUAGCCAGGAAGAGUAAUUGGGUGUCAAUCCUUUACAAAUUAAUUCUGGCCUCACAUAUUCUGGUGUGCGAAAGCUCAAUUUUUAUCCGAAUUGUAUACAUUCAAUCAGUCUCUUAUUCAUUCAAUUUUUAUCCGAAUUGAUAGAUUAACUUUCU